Molecule: non-coding RNA, 1313 nt
Organism: Misgurnus anguillicaudatus (oriental weatherfish)
Lineage: Eukaryota; Metazoa; Chordata; Actinopteri; Cypriniformes; Cobitidae
Source: RefSeq, a predicted model, not a curated record
GCACAGCAGAUCAAUGAUGUUUAAUGGAGCUUUUGAGGUUUUUCCUUUAAAUAAUUUAAUAACCAAAUCACUUUUUAUUUCAAGUGACAUUUCCUGAGUUAAUUCAGACUAUAAAAGAACCAUGAACAGACCAUAAACACCAUCAUCUACUGCUGAGCAACAUCUUUAGUCCUACCACUGUGAUUUUCAUCAAGAUUACCAACAUCUUCAGAUCUAUUAGUGGAUUAACAAUUUCAGCACAUCAUCUGACAAAUCAACUCUCCAUUUGAAGUCUAAAGUUAAUUUAGAUUAAUAAUAUUGUGAGUAUCAAGAUCAACUUAUAAACACCAUCAAUCUGAUAAAUUGAUAAACAACAUCUUCAGUUGUGUAAGUGGAUUCACAGUGCUGACUGUCAAGAGUUUGAGACCAUGACACAACACAACAUCAGCAUCACACAAUCAGGUUGGAUACCCAAGGAUUUUGGGGCAUUUCAUCUGGCAUACAGGCAGAAUUUGAAAAAUCAUGAUUUUGCAGAACAAAUAUUUAUCUGGACUCUUUCAGUCAUUGAAGUUCCAGUCAUGCUCUUAACUCUGCUUGCAUUGUGUUUUCUCAUCAAGUCUCGGCAUGUUGCUUCAGUUUAUGUGAUUCAUUUGAUUCUUUCAGAUCUCAUACAAAUUAUUUGUAAGAUAUCGAAUACAAUCCAAGAUAACUCUGUGGUGUCAAAUGCAUAUGUUUAUUCUUUAAUUGCUAGUCUGUAUUUUAUGGCAUGUAUUGCUCUUGAGCGAUAUCUUUUGGUUUGCCAUCCACUCUGGUACAGAAAUCAUCAUUCAUUAAAACUCUCCUGUUUGAUUUCUAUGAUCAUCUGGUUUGUGCCUCUGAUGUUUGCUGACAUACAUCAUGAUGUGUAUUUUGGUCUUCUGCUUCAAGCUAUAGCAUUUUUGAUCCCCUACCCAAUAAUCAUUCUCUGUUUUGUUGGUACUUGGAGGGGUCUUUCUCGCUCAUUAUCAAUCACUUCUCAAAAGCGCAGCUUAAUUUUAGGCAGCUUGUUUCUGGUGCUGCUGUCUUACACAUUUGUCAUUCUCCCUCAUCCAAUUGUGAAUUUUUUUAGAACCUUUCCUGCCAAGAAUUCUUCAACAACAAUCAAUUUAACAGUUCAGAAAAUCUAUUUGUUUCUAGACUGUCUCCUGUAUCUGAACCCUCUUGCUGACUGUUUAUUGUAUUUGUUCAUGAGAAGUGAUGUUGGUGACAUAAUGAAGUCUCUUCCGUGCUGUUGUAAAUCUGACUCACAUCAGAAUUCAGUACGAUACACAACCGGAACAAAUGCUUAGCAGUUU